AAGGACAAUUAACAGUGCCAUGAAUUACUGAGGACAGAGUCAACUACAAUAAUUUUUCUACAGUAUGAAUGGCCUAAUGAGAACAUGAAGCUGAGCAGGCAGAACCUGGAAAAUAGGUGUUUUAUCCAGUUCAUCACUACAAGUAAUCCCUUUAACAAGAAACUCCUCCCUAGACCUUGAAGAUCAGAUGUGAUUCAGUAAGGUGAAUAUUUAUUUAAUACCAUACAAUUCCACCUGGGAAUGAAGUCCA
This 250-nucleotide long non-coding RNA is filed under the name Cyanistes caeruleus (blue tit). Its description in RNAcentral is "lncRNA (ENSCCEG00000002272.1)". The record is from RNAcentral. Lineage: Eukaryota; Metazoa; Chordata; Aves; Passeriformes; Paridae.